Uloborus diversus is the source of this 2856-nucleotide long non-coding RNA. RefSeq lists it as uncharacterized. NCBI's taxonomy places the organism in Eukaryota, Metazoa, Arthropoda, Arachnida, Araneae, Uloboridae. The record is from RefSeq and is a predicted model, not a curated record. The transcript is spliced from 5 exons.
AACAGAGCUGUUCUAAACAGAGUGCGAAGCGUUCCAUAGCGCUCCGUCCUCCGCGGGUUUGGGAAACGUGUUCCAUCCAUGCGUUUUUCUUCUUUCCCUUGACAUGUGCCGGUGCAACAGAUCGUCUGUGCAAUGGAAUGUUCUGAGUUUUUCAGUCACAUCUGUUGUGAAAAAGCAUGGAGUGUGAAGUGGUAGGAUUUUUGCAUAGAUGGAAGAGAUUAUUCCAAAAUCUACACUGAUCUUGUGGAGAACUUACUUUUCAGGUGUGAUUAGAAAUAUCAGCAGUGCAAUUUCAAAAAGUUUUAUAAUUUGAAAGUUAUAUACUAAUUUUUUGUGGAGAACUUUUCUUUCAGGUGCGAUCAGAAAUAUCAGCAGUUGCAGAAGUGCAAUUUCAAAAAGCUUUAUAAUUUGAAAGCUAUACACUGAUGUUGUGGAUAACUUACUUUUCAGGCGUGAUCAGAAAUAUCAGCAGUGCAAUUUCAAAGAGCUUUAUAAUUUGAAAGCUAUACACUGAUCUUGUGGAUAACUUACUUUUCAGGCGUGAUCAGAAAUAUCAGCAGUGCAAUUGCAAAUAGUUUUAUAAUUUGAAAGCUAUACACGAUCUUGUGGAUAACUUACUUUUCAGGCGUGAUCAGAAAUAUCAGCAGUGCAAUUGCAAAUAGUUUUAUAAUUUGAAAGUUGUAUCAGAGAAUUGAAGAUAUGAAAAGUACUUGCUGUGAAUAAUUGUUUGAGAAUUGAUGAUAAAAAAAAAGUUACUAGCAAUGAAUAACUGUAUUUGACGAUAUGAAAGUUACUAGCUGAGAAUAACUAACUCAGAGUUGAUUAUAUAAAGUUACUAACUGUGAAUAAUUGUUUGAGAAUUGAUGAUAAAAAAAGGUUACUAGCUAUAAACAACUGGAUUGGACGAUAUAAAAGUUACUAGCUGAGAAUAACUAAGUCAGAGUUGAUUAUAUAAAAAUUACUAACUGAAUACUUAAUUGAUAAUUGACGAUUGAAAAGUUACUUGCUGUGAAUAACUAACUCAGAAUUGAUAUAAAAGUUACAAGCUGUGAAUAACUAACUCGGAAUUGAUAUAAAAGUAACUGAUUGUAAAUAACCUAGAAAUAAAUGAUGAAAAAUUACUAGCCGUGAAAAACUAACCUAAUACAUAAGUUAAUAGUCGUGAAAAUAAACUGAGGAUUGGUGAUAUAAAAAUUGUUAAAUGAAAUUGAGUUCCCAAUAAAGAACGCAUUAAAUCGGAAUUCAAGUAUUUUUUCCAUCACGUCAGAAAAGUGACCAAACUUUCGAGGGAAAAUUAUAGUUUUUAGAACAACAAAAUGAAAUUUUGCAACUUAUUAUUUUUUACGGUAAGAGAAAACGCUAAAACUGAAGAAAUGACUAUUAAAUAGUUUUUUUGCUGUCAAGUAGGUGAACUUGAAUCAAGCGGAAAACUACUUUUGUAGUAUCAAAAGUAUGACCAGAAGAAGAGAAAAAAAAAAAAGUUGAACUAUUAAUGAAUAAUAAAUACAUAUGCUGAUUCGCAUCUGUGGCAUAUUAAUAAUAGCUGAAAUAAGAAUCACAAAUUACCAACAAAAACUGAGAAAAACGUUCCUCUGUCCCUGCUUAAUAGAAUUUCAUUGUGUACUAGCCCUUCAUGUGCCUAUUAUAAAAGAUACGUUAUGGAUUUCGUCCAGAACUGUUUACACUGCGUUUUGUAAAGUGUUGUGGAUUAAACGCUCUAAAGAUAACAGAAGAAUACAGCCUUCAAGUUUCUUUCGCAAACAUUGCAAAACAAAGAUGAUCUUUCAAGACGUAAAGUGAAACAUGUGAUUUCUUUCAACAUUUGCAUAAAAAAGUUGGCAAUGGAAGGAAACUCGUUUGAAGAUGUGAACGUUAAAAACAUCUGAUGUACGGCUAGCAUAGGAGGAAAGUUUGUCGGAAUGAAAAACCAGAUUCUGAUGAAGGAAAAAGAAAGAAAAAAAUAAAACUCGCAUCUGUGCAAUUUACAAGAUAAGAUAAACUAUGGUUUUUAAGAGAAGCGAACGGCAAUCAUGUAUGAAAGGAUUUCCACGUCGUUUUUUUCGAAGACACUUUUAAGUUACAAAUUAGAAACUUGAUCUGAGAGGGAACGAAAUCUACGGAACUUGGACGACUUAGAGCGUGAGGAGGAAUAACGAACACUUUGUAUAAUGAGGUGGAAAAAUGAUGCACGUGUAGGAAGAAGACAUUACUACAACGGAGGAGCAUAAUCGAGAAUAGAAUUAAAUUGAAAAAGAGAGAAGGAAAUGAGAAAGUUCGGACCACAACGGGAAGCAGGUUUUCUCACGAAACUGAUGUCCUGAGCUGUAAAAAUUAUGGAUGACGACUGAGUGGUACUGGCUCUAAUUACGUCGCAGUAUAGCUGCUGGGAGAAGCAAGGAGGUAAAAAGUCACUGCAACGAUACAAAUGGUAAGUACAAAAAUAGCACAACGCUGAUGGACCGCACUAAUUGGAACCCCCAUCAAUUCGGAUUUGUGUAUGACAAACUAAAUAUGCAUUUAAAAGAAAACUUCACUUACAGUGAGGAAAAAUGGUUUAGGUAUACUUCACUAACAGUUUAACUGCUGAAGAAUUUUCUUGCGAAUAAAAUGCGUAGUUUUUUUUUUUUUUUUUUUUUUUUUUUACAGAUGAGGGGGCUCCGCCACCAGCUCGCUGACGCUCACCAAACUCCAAAGAUUGCUUCGCAAUCUUAUUUGCUUUGCAAAGAUUUAUACCGUCGAUUAGAAAGCAUCAGAUUAAACAAAGCAUUACGAGUUUUGUUUCGAACAAAAUGAAAAUCCCCCUUUCCCUUCCAUAGAAAAUAGAAUUUGAGUAAAAAACUCACAAUUAUAAUACAA